UGGAUCCAGACUUUGAUCAUGCUCAGGACGAACGCUGGCGGCGUGCCUAACACAUGCAAGUCGAACGGAACUGUUUCGAAAGAUUUCUUCGGAAUGAAUUUGAUUUAGUUUAGUGGCGGACGGGUGAGUAACGCGUGAGUAACCUGCCUUCAAGAGGGGGAUAACAUUCUGAAAAGAAUGCUAAUACCGCAUGAUAUAUCGGAACCACAUGGUUUUGAUAUCAAAGAUUUUAUCGCUUGAAGAUGGACUCGCGUCCGAUUAGUUAGUUGGUGGGGUAACGGCUCACCAAGACCGCGAUCGGUAGCCGGACUGAGAGGUUGAACGGCCACAUUGGGACUGAGACACGGCCCAGACUCCUACGGGAGGCAGCAGUGGGGGAUAUUGCGCAAUGGGGGCAACCCUGACGCAGCAACGCCGCGUGAAGGAUGAAGGUUCUCGGAUUGUAAACUUCUUUUAUUAAGGACGAAAAAUGACGGUACUUAAUGAAUAAGCUCCGGCUAACUACGUGCCAGCAGCCGCGGUAAUACGUAGGGAGCAAGCGUUGUCCGGAUUUACUGGGUGUAAAGGGUGCGUAGGCGGCUUUGCAAGUCAGAUGUGAAAUCUAUGGGCUCAACCCAUAAACUGCAUUCGAAACUGUAGAGCUUGAGUGAAGUAGAGGCAGGCGGAACUCCCCGUGUAGCGGUGAAAUGCGUAGAGAUGGGGAGGAACACCAGUGGCGAAGGCGGCCUGCUGGGCUUUAACUGACGCUGAGGCACGAAAGCGUGGGUAGCAAACAGGAUUAGAUACCCUGGUAGUCCACGCUGUAAACGAUGAUUACUAGGUGUGGGGGGUCUGACCCCUUCCGUGCCGGAGUUAACACAAUAAGUAAUCCACUUGGGGAGUACGGCCGCAAGGUUGCAACUCAAAUGAAUUGACGGA
RNAcentral lists this ribosomal RNA (918 nucleotides) under uncultured Bacillota bacterium. RNAcentral's name for it is "bacterial SSU rRNA". It matches the Rfam family "Bacterial small subunit ribosomal RNA", at positions 1 to 917 of the family's 1533-position model. Lineage: Bacteria; Bacillati; Bacillota. The record is from RNAcentral.